UACAGGAAGAACGCUACGAGGGUUUGACAUGUACGUGGUAGAGAAGCGACAGGGGAUAGACCUUUUGACGAGCGUACACUGGUGCUGCAUGGCAGUAGUCAGCUCGUGCCAUGAGGUGUCGGGUUAAGUCCCGUAACGAGCGCAACCCUUGCCCUUAGUUACAAGUGUCUAAGGGGACUGCCGGCGGUAAGCCGGAGGAAGGUGGGGAUGACGUCAAGUCAGCAUGUCCUUUAUAUCCAGGGCUACACACUCGCUACAAUGGUCCGUACAAAGGGCAGCGAAGCCGUGAGGUGAAGCGAAUUCCAACAAAGUUGAUGUAAGUUCGGAUUGCAGGUUGCAACUCGCCUGCAUGAAGCCGGAGUUGCUAGUAACCGCGCGUCAGUUAUAGUGCGGUGAAUACGUUCCCGGGGCUUGUACACACCGCCCGUCACGUCAUGGGAGUCGGUAACGCCUGAAGCUGGUAGUCCGGCCCGCAAGGGGGGACGCCAUCAAAGGCGGGCCGCGCAACUGGGAUGAAGUCCUAACA
Molecule: ribosomal RNA, 526 nt
Filed under: uncultured organism
Description: bacterial SSU rRNA
Rfam family: Bacterial small subunit ribosomal RNA
Source: RNAcentral